ACUCCCAGGUCUGCCCAUUCGCUGCUCAGGACUGAACACAGACGACCCAUCAUGGAGUCUGGGCUGAGGUGGCUUCUCCUCCUUGUUCUGUUACAAGGUGUCCAGUGUGAGGUACAACUCGUGGAGUCUGGAGGAGGCUUGGUCCAGCCUGGAGGGUCCCGGAGACUCUCCUGUGCAGCCUCUGGAUUCACCUUCACUGAUUACUACAUGAACUGGGUCCGUCAGGCCCCAGGGAAGGGGCUGGAGUGGGUUGAUGUUGUUAGAAACAAAGCUAAUGGUCGAACGGCUGAAAGCCUGCUGGAUCCUCAGUACAGCCCUUUCUGUGCUCCAGGGUGGGGGUCUGCUGUCGUCCUCACCCUCCUCCUGGCUGUUCUCCCAGGCGUCUGUUCCCAGGUGCAGCUGGUGCAGUCAGGGGCAGAGGUGAGACGCCUGGGGAGUCUCUGACGAUCUCCUGCAAGGCACAGCUUCACAAGCUACUGGAUGCACUGGGUGCACCAGAGGCCUGGGAAGGGCCUGGAGUGGAUGGGGAGAAUCUAUCCUGGUGAUUCUGAUACAAACUACAGCCCAGCCUUCCAAGGCCACGUCGCCAUCUCCACAGAUAACUCCAUCAGCACGGCUUCCCUGCGGUGGAACAAACUGAAGGCAGAGGACACCGCCAUGUAUUACUGCUCCAGGAGAGACUCUUUCUCUAAAAGAUUUUUUGACAGGGUGAAUGCUGCUCUGAUCGAACAGCUGGGCAAGCAGUACUGCAGAGGACUGGUGACCAGGGGCUGUCUGAUACCCCUCAGUCUUUAUGGGAAAAGAUGCAACAUGCAGGCUGAGAGGCUGAAGCAGCUUGGAGAAGACAAAGGCACACAGUGGGCAGAGAAGCUGUGGCACCUGCUGUCUGGGCUCCAGCCUUCGGAGAGGGCAGCCUCCAGAGGGGGGACGGCAGCCGCCUUGUCCUCAGGAAGCUCACAGUUCACCAGCUGCAGAAACUGGGCUCCUGAUGAUUGA
Nycticebus coucang (slow loris) is the source of this 996-nucleotide RNA transcript. RefSeq lists it as uncharacterized. The record is from RefSeq and is a predicted model, not a curated record. The transcript has 7 exons. Lineage: Eukaryota; Metazoa; Chordata; Mammalia; Primates; Lorisidae.